CCUACGGGAGGCAGCAGUGAGGAAUAUUGGUCAAUGGGCGGGAGCCUGAACCAGCCAAGUCGCGUGAGGGACGACGGUCCUAUGGAUUGUAAACCUCUUUUGUCGGGGAACAAAGGCGCCCACGGGUGGGCGGAUGAGUGUACCCGACGAAAAAGCAUCGGCUAACUCCGUGCCAGCAGCCGCGGUAAUACGGAGGAUGCGAGCGUUAUCCGGAUUUAUUGGGUUUAAAGGGUGCGUAGGCGGACGGUUAAGUCAGCGGUAAAAAUGCGGUGCUCAACGCCGUACAGCCGUUGAAACUGGCAGUCUGGAGUGGGCGAGAAGUAUGCGGAAUGCGUGGUGUAGCGGUGAAAUGCAUAGAGAUCACGCAGAACUCCGAUUGCGAAGGCAGCAUACCGGCGCCCUACUGACGCUGAGGCACGAAAGCGUGGGUAGCGAACAGGAGUAGAUACCCCGGUAGUC
This 459-nucleotide ribosomal RNA is filed under the name uncultured bacterium. RNAcentral's name for it is "partial 16S ribosomal RNA". It matches the Rfam family "Bacterial small subunit ribosomal RNA", at positions 338 to 795 of the family's 1533-position model. The record is from RNAcentral.